CUUUGGCUGCUUUCCCAGAACUGCCAGGCUAAGACCUUGGCAGAGACUCAACAGGAAACUGAACUCUAUUUGCAUAUCCUUUUAUACAUGGGAGAUUAAAAGCUUCAACCUUGAGUGAUCACAGUUUUUGAGCAUCAUGAAUGAGGCAUUAAAGAGGAGGAGGAGUAUCCCAAGGGAGGUGAACUGGAGGCAAAGCAAGAAGUCAUGGGUUAAGAAAAAUGACCAUGAUGGGUGACCAGCCUCGCCUGAGAGGUACGUAUGAGCUAGAGUUUCUGACCACCAAGUCAUCAGUUGGAACAAUCUUUCUGGCCAACAGAACCUCUAGAGGAGCCACUCAGGAUGGAUUCCUUAGGGUCUUCUUCACAUCUCUCCUUACCCUUUGGCCCAACCUGCUCUGAAAACACACAGACACAAAAGAAGAGGUAGAAGAUGAAAAUGAGGGCAAAAGAGCAUAUUCAGAUCUCAAGCAAAACCUGGUUGUUUGAUUUAUCAACGUUACCUCGGAACCUGUGCUGGAAACCAGGGCCGUAGGUGCCCCCAUCUCGGAAUAUGAAGCAUGUCUGGGACCAGACUGGCCUGAGGAAGUUCAGAUGGAUGCAAACUCAGAUUUGCUUGACCUCAUGGUAUUUGGCCUCCGUACCCUCGCUUCACUGCACUUACCCAACUGUCCAUCUCUCCAGUAUUCUGAGAGGACCAUUAGCAAGUACUCAAGGUGGUCAAAUUCUUUGAAAUUAAAAAUGGCACCAUCAGUACCCACCUAUGGGAAAUAAUAAUGCCCAUUCUCUAUAAUUCUUUGAAAAUUGUCAAGGGCAGUUUCUUUGGACUUAAACAUAGUUGGUCUUUCAAUAUCAGGUUGCCUAGCUCUUGGCACUUCCUAUGAAUCCAGUCAAAUGAUUUUUUUUUUUACUGUGCACCAGACCCUGAGGAUGCACUGCUGAAUGAUAGAUGUGCUCUCUUCUCCCUUGGAGCUUCUGUUCUAGCGUGAGAGCCAGUCAUCAGUUAAUGAUUUGCAUCAUGAAUUCUUCCACUGAUGCUGUGAUGGGUGCUCUGCAGAAGCAGGGGGAUUGCGAGAGCAUGCUACAGGGGCCAGGACCUGGCCAGGAGGUCCAGGAAGACUGCCCUAAAGAAGUGGCUUGGCAGCUGAGAUUGAAAAACAGAAGUUGCCCAGGGGUGCCAGACCAUGUCUGUUUGUCCCCCCACAUCCACUCCACUUCCUACUUGAGGAGGCUGACCGUAAUGGACAGCAUCCACCUGGCCCCUUUGCUCUCUGGCAUCCAAUUCAGUUUGGCCAGUGGGAGACACCAUCAGGAGAUGAAGUGCAAAGAGGAGAUGGGGGUGGAGUGGUAGGCGCCCAGGCUCCUUCCUGCCAGGCUGCCGAGGGCCGUGGCUGCCUUCCUCCUGGGGGCUGCAGCUGUCCCACAGCUGCAGGUUCCAGAAAAGGCCCCUCCACUCCGUGCUUCACACUAGGGUGGCAGUGGCUUCUUGUUGCCAGACCACCUUUUCUUUUUUCAGUUUUCCAUAACCCAGCUGUAUUCAUUUUCUAUGGCUGCUUUAACAAAGUACCACAAACUGGGUGGCUAAAGACAACAGAAAUUUAUUUUCAGUUCUGGAGUCUAGAAGUCUACAAUCAAGGUGUCAGCAGGGUCCUGCUCCUUCUGAAACCUGGAGGGGAAUUCUCCUUUGCCCCUUCCCACUUCUGCUGGUUUGGUGGCAGUCUUUGGCUCUUCAGCGUUUGCAGCUGCAGCGCUCAUCUUGGCCUUCAUGGUCACGUGGCAUGCUUUUUGUGUCUUUGUCUUUACAUGGCUGCCUUCUUACAAAGACAUCAGUCAUAUUGGAUUGGGGUCCACCUUACCUAAGUAUGACCGCGUCUUAACCAGUUACAUCAGUCUUAACUAAUCGCGUCCAUUGCAGUGAUGCUAUUUCCAAGAAAGGUCAUUGUCUGAGGUACUGGGGGUUAAGACUUCAACAUAUCUAUUUUUUGAGGGGCACAAUUCAAUCUGUAACACCUGCCCAGACCUUGUAAAUAUCCCUUUCAUUAGAUUCUCUGUAAAUUACCCCUUUGAGAGAACACUUUGCCUUUUGCUGGGACUCUCAUAUGUCAGAUAUAGGGGGCAGGUGGAGGGAAAGAACAUUAAGAAAUGAGGACAUGCCCAAAAAAAGCGCCCUGUGGCAGGAAGAAGUACUUUGAGCUUAAAGCUGCAUAAAUAUCAAAAGAACAGUUAGCAAGGGCUCGAAUAAAUCUGUCUUCCUAGAGGAUCACUAUUGAACUAUCCCAGAUUAUUCAGGAAGUCAUUCUGAAAAAUCCCAAGAAUGUGCUUGUGUUUAUGACUGUAAUUUAUAUCUGCCACAGGUUAAAGGUAAUUUUAAGGGUUUAUCGCUAAUGGGAAAAACAACCUUCCUCUAGCCCUGACCAGGAGAAAUUCAGUACAAACAGUAAGUCAAAGCCUGUGGUAGAAGUGGAGAAAGAACCGAUGGGAGAGGCACAGAGUGGCUGGAAGAUGUGCCAUGCCUGGUCCAGGAGAGGCAGGAACUGCUGCUGGGAGUUUGGCCUAGGCUUGUGGCAGGAGCAAGAUGAACCUGAUCACAAAGAUGGCCUAUCUUGCGGUGCCCAGGUAGAAGUCAGAAAGUGUGCCAGGGCCCCUGCCCUUGAACUCUACCUUUCUCGGUCUCUGUGAAGGCUCUGUUCCUUCUGCUUAGUCACUUGUUCUUUGUCAAGGCCAGGGAUUAGGCCACAGCUUGCCUGGCCCUGGGGGAUGCCUGUCAUUUGUUAUGACUUUCUGGGAGAACUAAUGUUUCCUUGCAGUCUAUGAGGAAUAAAUGGAAUUACAUUUACAAAUACUUGGCUCAUUCUUGGUUGUUAGUUUCCACCUUCCAGAGAAGACCUGAGGCUUGAGCAGUUCCUAGGAGAGGCAAGGGUGCUUUGGGGGCUUUAUCCACCCUUCCCCAUAGUCUCCAUCAGUUCCUAUUUUUUGACAUCUUUUCCAAUCUUAUGUGCUAUGAAAAUGCAGCAUCUGGGCAAGCUUCUGAGGCCUCUUCCAACCAGAGUGCCACCCACCAGACCUUCCUUUGUAGAAAUUCUGAAGUCGCCUUUGCAUAUAGUGCUUUAUGAUGCAUGAGUGCUACCCCACGCUGGCUCUUUUGUGUGUCUGUACCUCUUGUGAGAUUCCUCCAAAGCACCUGUUGAACCCAUGCUGGUCCUCAAAUGUGCUGAUGGAAGUGACAUGUGUUCUGCCCACAGGAUGUCUGACUUGAAGGGGAGCUGCUGUUUAUAAUGCCACAAGGAGAACAAAGGAAGACCGGUGAGGAGUUCAUUCCCAAGGUCAUGGCUACAGGAAGGACCCAGGUCUUUGGGUUGAGGCUCUAAAGAUGGGCCACAUCAUUACAGGAAUUUUGUUCCCUCCAGCCUUACCGACAGAGGAGGGUAAAGAUGCAUAGAUGAACUGCUGACCCACAUAGACAAACAGCUGGGAGCUCUGCUGUAAGAUGGCUGGAGCUGUCUAUAAGGCUGAGGUUGUUAGUGUUUCAUUUUCAGAGGCAGGGUGCUGCUUGGGACUUGCAGGCAGAUCAACCAACAGAUCAUACAGCAGUGGAGGAAGAUCUGUUCAUUGGCCUCACUGAGAACAGAAGGCAGGAUGAAUGAUCUGAGGGUGGUAGAGACCUCAGCAAGCCUUUGAAUCCAUAUUUUAGCCUUCACUUCCCUGUAACCACAAGCAGGGAGCUACUCUUACUGUUCUUCGAGUGAAUACCUUGAACUCUGUCCAUUUCUUUGAAUUUACUCAGGCUGUUGGGAGCAGGCAGCUUGCUGACCCUACCUCUGCUCAGGCCUCGACAGGAUUCUCUCUACAGGCUGGGCUGCAUGAAGUCCUAGAAGCUGGGGGUCCUCUUUCUUCACUGCCUGCUCUAGCUCAGGGGUGGCUGGGCUGUAAUAGACGGACCACCGGAUUUAGGCUUGGAAGAUCUGGGUUGGUAUCUGACACUGCCACUUAUUUGCAAGUCACUUAACCUCUAGGACUGAGUCCGGGUCAAUAAAAUGGGGACAAUACUGCCUCAUGUGGUCAUGAAUAAUGGAGGUGAGUAUACUACCAUUGAUUUAUAGUCAGACCUGCCCUGGGGGUCAGCUGACCGGUGCGGAAGAGGGAGGCCACUUCCCUGGAGGCAGAGGAGAUGUUGAUAUGUAGCUUCAGACAGUUUUCAGUGCUUGUUUCCCCCUACAUGUGGAUGUUCCUUUUAUUUUUUGUUGCAAUAUAUUUACUUUGGAUCUCGUAUUUAUAUACUGAGGAUGCUGCUUCCUAGGAAAGGAAAUAGACUUUACGAAAAUGCUAGUCUUUCAGAGGACAAGAGCCCAUAACUGUCACACAGAAUUUAACAGAAAAUAUUAUUGCACUGGAUUUAAUUUUUAGUAGCAGUCAAGUGCCUACUAUAGUGCUCUGCCCAUAUCAAGCACCCUGUAAAUGCUGAGGCUGGACUAAAGCAAAUACAACCCAACACAUAUGGAAUGGGAGGGUGAAGUGAGUGCAGACAAUGGAGAUUAGUGAGAAAAACCAAAGUUAAAGCACGACAGAGGUUUAAUGGAGUAUCAUAGAAUUAUCUACUGAGAGGAGAGAGUAGAAUAAACUAGAACUAAUAAGGAAAUACAACAGUAUGGAGAAGAGAAAUGUGGAAGCAGGGAAAAGCUGGAGAGGGACAGUCACCCCCAUGCAGUGGUUCUCCAUCUUGGCUGCACACAGGGACCACAUGGGGAGUUUUAAAUAAUACUGAAGCCUGGGUACAGUCCCCAGAGAAUCCAAUUUAAUUAGUAUGGGGUGGUGUCUGGGCAUCAGGAUUUUUAAAUGCUCCCUAGGUAAUUCUGAUGUGCAGCUGGGGUUGAAAACCGCCGUGUAAGGGAAUCAUUUAGCCAAAGAGUAAAGCUUGUAGUGCGGUAAAGGCUUAGUGCAGUGUGGUCCUCGGGGGACAAGACAAAGCCUCUGGCCAGGUAUCACUCACUUGUGACCAGGAGCGUCUGCCAGACUUCUGCUCCAUGUCCUUUCUCCAGGAGCAGCUUGGACUCUCAGUAGCUCCCCUCCCUGGUAACUGCCCUCCUCAGGCCUCUGACCCAUCAGAGGGUGUGGGGGCCUGUUCAGGUCAGCAUUAGCCACCUCUCUGUUCCUCUGAGCCCCUAUAGCAGUGCUGGGCCCCUCGUGGGCGCUUAGUAAAGGGUUGCUAGGUGCUGUGGUCCUUCUGGGCCCUUUCAUGCUGAUUGAAAUGGGCUAAGUUUGUGGUUCUUGCUUCUUCCUCCCAAUCCUGCCCUGACUUCAAGAUCCAAAUUCUGCCCUUCCCAGCUCCCUCUUGGGAAGUAGAAUUCAGGCAGGGGAGCCUGCUCACUGUGGUUCCUACACUGGACAACACAGCACGGUGCGUGACUGGAACUCAGCGUGCAGCACACCCGACCCACAGUAAUGCAUUCUGCUGUCAGCUUUGUGUUCUCUUUUUUUCCCUGCCCUUCCUCCUCCCUUUUCUUUCUCCCUCGCUCCUUUCCUUGUUUCUCUCCUGUACUCCCCAGGCUCACAGCAGCAACCUCAUCCAAGAAGACCUGCCGUUAAGAGUAAAAAUGUGUCCAGUGCCCUGAAGUGGCCGCUUGUUUUUGGAGGGAAUGACUUACUUUUUCUCCCCAGGAAUUGCUGAUUUCACAGUAAAGAUUUUGCUACCACAGGGAGACCUGUGGGUAGAAUUUAAAGUUA
Molecule: non-coding RNA, 5717 nt
Organism: Manis javanica (Malayan pangolin)
Lineage: Eukaryota; Metazoa; Chordata; Mammalia; Pholidota; Manidae
Source: RefSeq, a predicted model, not a curated record